AUUGAACGCUGGCGGCAGGCCUAACACAUGCAAGUCGAACGAGUGGCGGACGGGUGAGUAAUGUCUGGGAAACUGCCCGAUGGAGGGGGAUAACUACUGGAAACGGUAGCUAAUACCGCAUACCAUCGGAUGUGCCCAGAUGGGAUUAGCUUGUAGGUGAGGUAACGGCUCACCUAGGCGACGAUCCCUAGCUGGUCUGAGAGGAUGACCAGCAACACUGGAACUGAGACAUGGUCCAGCCUCCUACGGGAGGCAGCAGUGGGGAAUAUUGCACAAUGGGCGCGAGCCGGAUGCAGCCAUGCCGCGUGUAUGAAGAAGGCCUUCGGGUGUUAAAUUCCUUUCAGCGGGGAGGCGUUACCCGCAGAAGACGCACCGGCUAACUCCGUGCCAGCAGCCGCGGUAAUAC
RNAcentral lists this ribosomal RNA (406 nucleotides) under uncultured bacterium. RNAcentral's name for it is "partial 16S ribosomal RNA". It matches the Rfam family "Bacterial small subunit ribosomal RNA", at positions 30 to 526 of the family's 1533-position model. The record is from RNAcentral.